Molecule: ribosomal RNA, 549 nt
Filed under: uncultured bacterium
Lineage: Bacteria
Description: bacterial SSU rRNA
Rfam family: Bacterial small subunit ribosomal RNA
Source: RNAcentral
UAGGGAAUCUUCGGCAAUGGGGGCAACCCUGACCGAGCAACGCCGCGUGAGUGAAGAAGGUUUUCGGAUCGUAAAGCUCUGUUGUAAGUCAAGAACGAGUGUGAGAGUGGAAAGUUCACACUGUGACGGUAGCUUACCAGAAGGGGACGGCUAACUACGUGCCAGCAGCCGCGGUAAUACGUAGGUCCCGAGCGUUGUCCGGAUUUAUUGGGCGUAAAGCGAGCGCAGGCGGUUUGAUAAGUCUGAAGUUAAAGGCUGUGGCUCAACCAUAGUUCGCUUUGGAAACUGUCAAACUUGAGUGCAGAAGGGGAGAGUGGAAUUCCAUGUGUAGCGGUGAAAUGCGUAGAUAUAUGGAGGAACACCGGUGGCGAAAGCGGCUCUCUGGUCUGUAACUGACGCUGAGGCUCGAAAGCGUGGGGAGCGAACAGGAUUAGAUACCCUGGUAGUCCACGCCGUAAACGAUGAGUGCUAGGUGUUGGGUCCUUUCCGGGACUCAGUGCCGCAGCUAACGCAUUAAGCACUCCGCCUGGGGAGUACGACCGCAAGGUU